AAUUCACUUUGUCAGCAGUUCAGGGAGAGCACUGGCAGGUUGGACAGGGAUUAGAGAUGGACAGCAAGAGCUGGGAACUGUGAAGAAGGUUCUGCUAAAUUUCAAGGAAUUUGGACUGCUGAGAGCAGCUUCCCAGUGGAUCCCUGCAAGGCUCUGGGAGUGCUCCCAGGAGAGUUUGCCAUGGCAGAAGAAGCAUUUCCAUGCUGCCUCUUCCUCUGCUUUGAGCAGGCCAACGCUGCCAGAUGGAAAUUGCCAAGGGCACGAGGCUGGCAAGUGAAGAGCAGAGCUGCUGUGAAGGGAAAGCUCAGUUCAUUCAGAGAGAUCACACAGGUCACUUGAGCACUGUUACAGGGAGGAAGCAGAAAAUGAGAGAUUUCCAGGAAAGCCUUUGUAGCUGGUGGGGAAAAGGAGUCGAGAUACCCAAUGGCUGCAGGGAUGGUGAUCCAAAUUAGUUCUGAGCAGAUUUCCUUUUUUUUUAUUUGGUGAGGGUUAUUAACCUUACCUGCAGCUUUAAGGCCAAAUAGUUUUGGAAUAUAUUCUAGUUUAAUCUAGCUGUCCUCCAUGCUGCAUACUCACAGCAGCCAUAUUUAACUAUCAUAUGAUGUGUGAAUUUGCUUGUGUCCCUAUCCCAAAUGUCAUCCUUCCUGGGUUUUCACCUUCUUUUUAACAUGCUAGUAAAUCUUCUGCAUCCCUCUGCAGUAUUUCCAUGGGUAAACCCACUGAAGAGCACAAGCUAAAGGAUGCCACCUCCAGCUGAGCACAGGGAGCAGUGGGAAAGGAUGUUAUAUCAGCUUUCCAUCUGCUGCUAGGAUGAAAAGAGAGCAAGAUUUUGAUUUAGGGAGCUGAAGACUGGGGCAGAUCAGUUUGUUCAAGCCGUGCCUGAGACUGAACACAGGGAUUGUACCUGUGCAUUUACAGGUUAUUCUGACAACCUGUCUGCUGCAGCUGCCAGAGAUCAGCUGCUCGUGGUUCCCUCAAAAAGGUUUGCUGACAAAUGACUUUUACAAGGUCAGGUUGUCAGAGUGUUCCCUGGAGUGCUUAUGUCCUCUCAGGCCAAACAUCAGGCUCAGUGUGUGUCCACAGUGUCUUGGAGCUUGUUUAAAAGUAAAACAAUUUUUUCAUGUAAGAACUGUAAUACUGAAGUCAGACCUUGUGCCAUCCACAGUGAUGGAUAGCAAAGCGUGGCCUUUCCACACAGCAGCAGAGCAGCCCAGGUGAUGGGAGAGCAUGUGGUGAGUGAAUUUUCUACCCACACUGUUCCCAGAUAAGAUUUUUCUGAGUCAUGCCUUAAGUUUUAGCUUUUAUAUUUUUCAGAUUCUGUACUGCUUUGGUGUGUAGUUCUG
Long non-coding RNA from Melospiza georgiana, 1343 nucleotides. RefSeq lists it as uncharacterized. The record is from RefSeq and is a predicted model, not a curated record. Lineage: Eukaryota; Metazoa; Chordata; Aves; Passeriformes; Passerellidae. The transcript is spliced from 3 exons.